Molecule: long non-coding RNA, 490 nt
Organism: Brienomyrus brachyistius
Lineage: Eukaryota; Metazoa; Chordata; Actinopteri; Osteoglossiformes; Mormyridae
Exons: 2
Source: RefSeq, a predicted model, not a curated record
GGCGACGCUGCGCAGUCAAAGCGAAUCGGCUCCGGUUUGCCCGAUAGUGGCAGUGCGCAGAGGGGAAAAAAUGAAACUCGCUGAAUUCACAGUCACGCAAGAUGCGCGUCGCGACUUUUCCCGAAAAUACGGAUAAUGGCUCAGCGAUGCAGAGCGUCAGGCACAAAGUAGGAUGACCUCUCCGCCCACCUGCUUGCGCGUGGCAUGGCCGAUCUGCGGAUCACCCAGCCUGGGAUCCGUCUGUGGCAGAGUACUGGGAAGGAUGCACAUCACCUUAUCCCAGGGUUAAUGAGGCUCCACUUUAUUUAUGGCAAUAUUUUCAUGAUUAAUCUUUGGAUAAAAGCCCUUGCUUUCCUUUCGUGGAGCCACCAACAGGCAUUCUGUGUCCUGUGAGGCAGCCGGAAGGAAUUCUGCAAAUAGCCUACGAGUAUUAUUAGCAAGAACGCGACGUUUAAUCGAUUAGUUAAUAAAGAAUGAGACUUAAAACAUC